Haliotis rubra (blacklip abalone) is the source of this 158-nucleotide long non-coding RNA. RefSeq lists it as uncharacterized. The transcript is spliced from 3 exons. Lineage: Eukaryota; Metazoa; Mollusca; Gastropoda; Lepetellida; Haliotidae. The record is from RefSeq and is a predicted model, not a curated record.
AUACAGUUUAUAUUUUAGAUUUUUUUUAGUAAUUUAAAUUUUAUUUCUGAAUCCCUGUUACAGUCAAAACUAAGGAGCCAGGGGACAGCUCAGUCCGAAGAUAUACAGUAAUUUAAUGGUAUACAGGUGGAAUUUUUUACGAAACAAGACAAUCCAUU